RNAcentral lists this ribosomal RNA (458 nucleotides) under uncultured bacterium. RNAcentral's name for it is "bacterial SSU rRNA". It matches the Rfam family "Bacterial small subunit ribosomal RNA", at positions 30 to 507 of the family's 1533-position model. The record is from RNAcentral.
AUUGAACGCUUGGGCGGCAGGUCUAAUACAUGCAAGUCGAACGGUAACAUAAAAGAAGCUUGCUUCUUUUGAUGACGAGUGGCGGACGGGUGAGUAAUAUUUGGGAAACUACCUGAUAGAGGGGGGACAACAGUUGGAAACGACUGCUAAUACCGCAUAAAGCCUGAGGGUGAAAGCAGCAAUGCGCUAUGAGAUGGGCCCGCGUCUGAUUAGCUAGUUGGUGGGGUAAUAGCCUACCAAGGCGACGAUCAGUAGCCGGCUUGAGAGGGUGAACGGCCACAUUGGGACUGAGACACGGCCCAAACUCCUACGGGAGGCAGCAGUGGGGAAUAUUGCACAAUGGGGGAAACCCUGAUGCAGCGACGCCGCGUGAGUGACGAAGUAUUUCGGUAUGUAAAGCUCUAUCAGCAGGGAAGAAAAUGACGGUACCUGACUAAGAAGCACCGGCUAAAUACGUG